AUUGAACGCUGGCGGCAGGCUUAACACAUGCAAGUCGAGCGGAGAUGAGGUGCUUGCACCUUAUCUUAGCGGCGGACGGGUGAGUAAUGCUUAGGAAUCUGCCUAUUAGUGGGGGACAACAUUCCGAAAGGAAUGCUAAUACCGCAUACGUCCUACGGGAGAAAGCAGGGGAUCUUCGGACCUUGCGCUAAUAGAUGAGCCUAAGUCGGAUUAGCUAGUUGGUGGGGUAAAGGCCUACCAAGGCGACGAUCUGUAGCGGGUCUGAGAGGAUGAUCCGCCACACUGGGACUGAGACACGGCCCAGACUCCUACGGGAGGUAGCAGUGGGGAAUAUUGGACAAUGGGGGGAACCCUGAUCCAGCCAUGCCACGUGUGUGAAGAAGGCCUUAUGGUUGUAAAGCACUUUAAGCGAGGAGGAGGCUACUGAGACUAAUACUCUUGGAUAGUGGACGUUACUCGCAGAAUAAGCACCGGCUAACUCUGUGCCAGCCGCCGCGGUAA
This 501-nucleotide ribosomal RNA is filed under the name uncultured bacterium. RNAcentral describes it as "partial 16S ribosomal RNA". It matches the Rfam family "Bacterial small subunit ribosomal RNA", at positions 30 to 523 of the family's 1533-position model. The record is from RNAcentral.